GCAUCUAAGCGGGAAACUCGUUCCAAGAUGAGAUCUGCCGGGGCCUUGAGCCCCCUAAAGAGUCGUUCAAGACCAGGACGUUGAUAGGCUGGGUGUGGAAGCGCAGCAAUGCGUUAAGCUAACCAGUACUAAUUGCUCGUGAGGCUUGACCCU
Molecule: ribosomal RNA, 153 nt
Filed under: Hydrogenophaga sp.
Lineage: Bacteria; Pseudomonadati; Pseudomonadota; Betaproteobacteria; Burkholderiales; Comamonadaceae
Description: partial 23S ribosomal RNA
Rfam family: Bacterial large subunit ribosomal RNA
Source: RNAcentral